GGGUGCGGAACACGUACGCAACCUUCCUUUAAGUGGGGGAUAGCCCAGGGAAACUUGGAUUAAUACCCCGUAAUACUAUGAAGUGGCAUCACUUUAUAAUUAUAGCUCCGGCGCUUAAAGAUGGGCGUGCGCCUGAUUAGGUAGUUGGCGGGGUAACGGCCCACCAAGCCUUCGAUCAGUAACUGGUGUGAGAGCACGACCAGUCACACGGGCACUGAGACACGGGCCCGACUCCUACGGGAGGCAGCAGUAAGGAAUAUUGGUCAAUGGACGCAAGUCUGAACCAGCCAUGCCGCGUGGAGGAUGAAGGUCCUCUGGAUUGUAAACUUCUUUUAUUUGGGAAGAAACCCACGAUUUCUAUUGUGGUUGACGGUACCAGAUGAAUAAGCACCGGCUAACUCCGUGCCAGCAGCCGCGGUAAUACGGAGGGUGCAAGCGUUAUCCGGAUUCACUGGGUUUAAAGGGUGCGUAGGCGGGCAGGUAAGUCAGUGGUGAAAUCUCCGAGCUUAACUUGGAAACUGCCGUUGAUACUAUCUGUCUUGAAUGCUGUGGAGGUAAGCGGAAUAUGUCAUGUAGCGGUGAAAUGCUUAGAUAUGACAUAGAACACCUAUUGCGAAGGCAGCUUGCUACACAGAAAUUGACGCUGAGGCACGAAAGCGUGGGGAUCAAACAGGAUUAGAUACCCUGGUAGUCCACGCCCUAAACGAUGGAUACUCGACAUCAGCGAUACACAGUUGGUGUCUGAGCGAAAGCAUUAAGU
This 760-nucleotide ribosomal RNA is filed under the name uncultured Bacteroidota bacterium. RNAcentral's name for it is "bacterial SSU rRNA". It matches the Rfam family "Bacterial small subunit ribosomal RNA", at positions 104 to 865 of the family's 1533-position model. The record is from RNAcentral. Lineage: Bacteria; Pseudomonadati; Bacteroidota.